GGAGAGAAGGAUAACAAAAACGAAGGAUGAUGGUGAUAGAGAAUGGUUGUAAGAAAAGUGACGGAGACCCCAACGAAUGGAAAGGUGGAAGAUUAUAUAUCUUUUACAGAGAAGAUAGUAAUAUUUACUACAACCAUCAGAAAAACAUCAAACCAGAAUUGUAACAGUGAUUGAUAUCAUGAGCUCGGUAAAAGCUCUAAGCGUCCGGUGCUGCUGGAUUGUUCACGUCAACGGGACAAACAGACANN
This 248-nucleotide long non-coding RNA is filed under the name Arabidopsis lyrata. RNAcentral's name for it is "long non-coding RNA (ALYR_LNC000166)". Lineage: Eukaryota; Viridiplantae; Streptophyta; Magnoliopsida; Brassicales; Brassicaceae. The record is from RNAcentral.